RNAcentral lists this transfer RNA (71 nucleotides) under Eretmochelys imbricata (hawksbill sea turtle). RNAcentral describes it as "tRNA-Phe". It matches the Rfam family "tRNA". Rfam says of the family: Transfer RNA (tRNA) molecules are approximately 80 nucleotides in length. Lineage: Eukaryota; Metazoa; Chordata; Testudines; Cheloniidae. The record is from RNAcentral.
GUUAUUGUAGCUUAUUAUAAAGCACGGCACUGAAGAUGCCAAGAUGGGUGACACACAAACCCCAAAAACAC